GUAGGCGGAGAGGCCGUGGGUUGGCGGGCGCGUGGGCCGGAAAGGCGGCGGUGCCGCAGACCGACUGCGGGGUGAGCCGGCCUAACGCCAUCGGCAGGGACGGCGACCUGGCCGAGUCACCUGCAGGGCGCUGGUGCUUGUGAGACCCAGGCCCGGAAGGAGCGAGGCUCCGCCCGACCCGCAGCCCCGCGCUCGGCCCGACCGUCGGGAUCGGAAGAGGGUUCUGCAGCCCAGCGAGUGCUGCCCCCUCUUACUGAACCCUCCCCGAGUGUCCCCUGCGUUCUCCACGUACAUCCUCCAUGUUUGUAUCAGUCCUAAAUUCCUGUCCACUCUCCUGCUCAUCCGCUGCUUUCAUCGUGGAGCUGUGUUGUCUCUUCUUAAAAAGUGUGAUUUCCAGCAAUGGAAGGUGCAUACCCGGUUCUGCAAGAAGUGGGAGAGGAAUUGGAAAAGAAGAAGACAACUGAACUGAAGAAUAGUAGAUUCUCCUUAGCUGCAUGUUAACAAUGAAAUGUUAAUAAUUUUUGUCUUUGGAAGCAAAACUGACACCUUCCCUUGCUUCCAUUAUGGAUAAGUGUGUACAUCCUGCCUGACAGUCAAGGGGAGAGUUUACCCAUGAGGACAAACCAAAACAAACAAACAAACAAAAACAGAGAUACCCUGUGUGGGUCUCGAGCCUUUCCUGUAAGUUACUGGCUCACUAUUAACACAGCGUUAUUCGUUCCUGACCUUUGCAGUUGUGACGUAUGAACCUAUAUGACUGUGCCAGCUAUUAAGCUCUCCGUCUCUCAGCUCCAAACCACCCUCCUAUAUCCUACUGUGUGAUGCAGGUCUGGAACCCGACAAAUCCUGUGCUUGCUUUGCUAGCUGGCUCCCUAGCAAGAUCUUCCAAUAAGGACACUAAAGGGAAGCCCAAGGCUGGAGGAGGAAAGGGGACUAUCUUUCCUAUGGGCUUCUUCUCGGCUCCGUUGGCUUCCUGUUCCUGGGAGAUCUCCUAGCAACUUUUUGCACUCUGAUGGCGGCAGUUUAUUUCCCACAGCAGAAGUUGAAACCAGUUUGCAAUGUCUCUAUCACUCAUGGAACCAGCCUCACACACCCCCUCACAGGCACCAGCUUGUGCCUUCUCCUCGGGGGUCUGGGUCCUAGCUCCAUGGGGACCACCCUCUGAACUCAGAGACACCAGCACCUACCAAGCAACAUCCCUCCCUCAGAGAUCUGAGUUUCACCUCCGUGGGACCCUCCCUUCAAACUUCUGAGUUCUAAUUAUUUCAGCCCCCUUUUUUUGUUUCCACAGCCCUAGAGGAGAAAGCUGCUUCCAUGAUAAGGACGUCAAGUUUUCCCACUAACGGGCUCUGUGGUGAUUGUGAAGGCUACGUGAAGUUUGUAUUGAUAAAGUUUGUACCAGGAAAGAAGAAGACGUCAGCUACCACCUCUGCUUCAAAUGACUCUUCUGCUUCUCUCUGGUGACCCUUUUCCGCUCACUCGUCCUUCCCUGCAUGCCUUCGGAGUCUGAGAACUCUCAAUCUAGCCAAACAACCAGACUCAAAGAUGCAAGAACCUGAAAAGCAAAGUGGACUCUGGAAUAAGCAAAACAAUCUUCUCUUUUUCAGACCAUGUUUCCUC
This 1620-nucleotide long non-coding RNA is filed under the name Equus asinus (donkey). Its description in RNAcentral is "lncRNA (ENSEASG00005032281.1)". The record is from RNAcentral. Lineage: Eukaryota; Metazoa; Chordata; Mammalia; Perissodactyla; Equidae.